This 230-nucleotide ribosomal RNA is filed under the name uncultured bacterium. RNAcentral's name for it is "partial 16S ribosomal RNA". It matches the Rfam family "Bacterial small subunit ribosomal RNA", at positions 258 to 504 of the family's 1533-position model. The record is from RNAcentral.
UAACGGCUUACCAAGCCGACGAUCAGUAGCCGACCUGAGAGGGUGACCGGCCACAUUGGGACUGAGACACGGCCCAGACUCCUACGGGAGGCAGCAGUGGGGAAUAUUGCACAAUGGAGGAAACUCUGAUGCAGCGACGCCGCGUGAGCGAAGAAGUAUUUCGGUAUGUAAAGCUCUAUCAGCAGGGAAGAAAAAGGACGGUACCUGACUAAGAAGCUCCGGCUAAAUAC